AUUGAACGCUGGCGGCAUGCCUUACACAUGCCAGUCGAACGGUAACGGGCCUUCGGGUGCCGACGAGUGGCGAACGGGUGAGUAAUACAUCGGAACGUGCCCGAUCGUGGGGGAUAACGAGGCGAAAGCUUUGCUAAUACCUCAUACGAUCUACGGAUGAAAGCAGGGGACCGCAAGGCCUUGCGCGGACGGAGCGGCCGAUGGCAGAUUAGGUAGUUGGUGGGAUAAAAGCUUACCAAGCCGACGAUCUGUAGCUGGUCUGAGAGGAUGAUCAGCCACACUGGGACUGAGACACGGCCCAGACUCCUACGGGAGGCAGCAGUGGGGAAUUUUGGACAAUGGGCGCAAGCCUGAUCCAGCCAUGCCGCGUGCAGGAUGAAGGCCUUCGGGUUGUAAACUGCUUUUGUACGGAACGAAAAGCCUUCUUUUAAUACAGGAGGGUCAUGACGGUACCGUAAGAAUAAGCACCGGCUAACUACGUG
RNAcentral lists this ribosomal RNA (482 nucleotides) under uncultured bacterium. RNAcentral describes it as "partial 16S ribosomal RNA". It matches the Rfam family "Bacterial small subunit ribosomal RNA", at positions 30 to 507 of the family's 1533-position model. The record is from RNAcentral.